GGAUGCGAUCAUACCAGCACUAAAGCACCGGAUCCCAUCGGAACUCCGAAGUUAAGCGUGCUUGGGCGAGAGUAGUACUAGGAUGGGUGACCUCCUGGGAAGUCCUCGUGUUGCAUCCC
This 119-nucleotide ribosomal RNA is filed under the name Oryza sativa Indica Group (long-grained rice). Lineage: Eukaryota; Viridiplantae; Streptophyta; Magnoliopsida; Poales; Poaceae. The record is from RNAcentral.